This 496-nucleotide ribosomal RNA is filed under the name uncultured bacterium. RNAcentral's name for it is "bacterial SSU rRNA". It matches the Rfam family "Bacterial small subunit ribosomal RNA", at positions 29 to 535 of the family's 1533-position model. The record is from RNAcentral.
AACGAACGCUGGCGGCGUGCUUAACACAUGCAAGUCGAACGGGUUUAAUGGAUGUAGCAAUACAUUCAUUAAAUUAGUGGCGCACGGGUGAGUAACACGUAGGUAACCUACCCUUCAGUGGGGGACAACAGAGGGAAACUUCUGCUAAUACCGCAUACGAUCACGGACUGGGGAUGUUCGUGGUGAAAGGAUUUAUUCGCUGAGGGAUGGGCCUGCGGCCUAUCAGGUAGUUGGUGAGGUAAUGGCUCACCAAGCCUGCGACGGGUAGCCGGACUGAGAGGUCGAUCGGCCACACUGGAACUGAGACACGGUCCAGACUCCUACGGGAGGCAGCAGUGGGGAAUAUUGCACAAUGGGGGAAACCCUGAUGCAGCGACGCCGCGUGGAGGAUGACGGCCUUGGUUGUAACUCCUUUUGUCAGGGACAAUGGUGAUGGUACCUGACGAAUAAGCCACGGCUAACUCUGUGCCAGCAGCCGCGGUAAAACGUAGGACGU